AUUGAACGCUGGCGGAAUGCUUUACACAUGCAAGUCGAACGGUAGAGGGGGCAACCCCUCGAGAGUGGCGAACGGGUGAGUAAUAUAUCGGAACGUGCCCAGUCGUGGGGGAUAACGUAGCGAAAGUUACGCUAAUACCGCAUAUGAACUAAGGAUGAAAGCGGGGGAUCGCAAGACCUCGCGCGAUUGGAGCGGCCGAUAUCAGAUUAGGUAGUUGGUGGGGUAAAGGCUCACCAAGCCAACGAUCUGUAGCUGGUCUGAGAGGACGACCAGCCACACUGGAACUGAGACACGGUCCAGACUCCUACGGGAGGCAGCAGUGGGGAAUUUUGGACAAUGGACGCAAGUCUGAUCCAGCCAUUCCGCGUGCAGGAUGAAGGCCCUCGGGUUGUAAACUGCUUUUGUACGGAACGAAAAGGUCUCUCUUAAUACGGGGGACUCAUGACGGUACCGUAAGAAUAAGCACCGGCUAACUACGUGCCAGCCGCCGCAGUAA
This 496-nucleotide ribosomal RNA is filed under the name uncultured bacterium. RNAcentral describes it as "partial 16S ribosomal RNA". It matches the Rfam family "Bacterial small subunit ribosomal RNA", at positions 30 to 523 of the family's 1533-position model. The record is from RNAcentral.